This 1874-nucleotide long non-coding RNA is filed under the name Ananas comosus (pineapple). RNAcentral's name for it is "long non-coding RNA (ACOM_LNC007362)". The record is from RNAcentral. Lineage: Eukaryota; Viridiplantae; Streptophyta; Magnoliopsida; Poales; Bromeliaceae.
CUAUUUAAAAAGUAAAAAAAAUUAUAAUUAAUAGAAAGCAGAUAAAAGUCAAUACUACAUGAUAUAUAUAUAUAUAUAUAUAUAUAUAUAUAUAUAUAUAUAUAUGCCUAUGCUAUGCAAAUUGCAAUCCAAUUUAAAAAUUGGAUGGAAAGAGAUUUAAUUAGUACUAGAAUUGGAUUUGGCCUUUGUAGUUUUAAGGCCAAUUUGCAUAAAAAAUUCACUUAUUUUGAACUUUUGCAAAAUCGGGCCAUUUUUUUCAUUUUUGCAGAUUUGAUCCGCUUUUUCAGCAAACUAACCAAAAUACCCUUAUACCUUUUUCUCGAUCCUUUUUUUUUUCUCUCGUUCUUUUUUUCUUUCUCUUCCUAGAGAGCGGCGGAGGCGGCUUGUCCGGCGCAUCCUUAUCCUCGUCCGCACUUCUCGUCCUCUCCCUCUCCUUCCUCCUCUGCCGCCUCCGACGACGACGCAUCUUCGCCGACGCCGAUAAUAUGCCGACGAAUCCUUACCCUCGCCUGCACACUCCCGUACCUUCAUCGCCUCAGACCCUGCCGAGGCUGCGCCGCGACUCUUUUUUUUUUUCUCUUCGACUCUCCUCCACUGUCUCCGACGACGACACCUCUCUUGCCCUUCUUCGCCCUUCUCGUCAUCUCCCUCUCCCUCUUCCUCUGCCGCCUCUGACGACGAUGCAUCUUCGCCGGCACCGACACCGGUGCCGACACCGCAGAGGUCACUGCGGUGCUGCAGCCUCGGAGCGUGAGGUUCUUAGUUGCAUCGUCGUCGGCGCCGUGGAGAGGGGUGACCAAAAAAAAUUAUAAAAGAAGCAAGAAAAAAAAAAUAAAGAUAAAAAAUUAUAGAAAAAGAAUGAUGAAGAUGAAAUUAUAUCGUUAACUGCAAAAUAAAUUAUAAGUUGCACUACUUAAAAUAUAAACUGCAGUUUUAAGAUGAAAAUUACACUCUUAAAAUGAAAAUUACACUAUUUGGGAGAUAUUUACACCGUUUUUCCUCUGAUUGUACUCUUUCAGAUAUAAACUGCACUACUAAGAUGAAAAUUAUACUCUUUAAAUAAAAGUUGCACGGUUUCUCCUCUUGUUACAUCAUUUCUCCUCUUGUUACACUAUUUUUUAUCUUAAACUGCACCUAUUUAAGAGAUAUUUAUACUGUUUCUCCUCUUGUUGUACUAUUUUUUCUCUUAUUGCACUAUUUUUUCUCUUAUUACACUGUUUCUCCUCUUAAAGGGUGCAAUUUAAGAUAAAAAUAGUGUAACAAGAGGAGAAAUAGUAUAAUAAGAGGAGAAACAGUGUAACAAGAGGAGAAACAGUAUAAAUAUCUCUUAAAGGGGUGUAGUUUAAGAUAAAAAAUAAUGUAACAAGAGGAAAAAUAGUGCAACAAGAGGAGAAACAGUGCAACUUUCGUUUAAAGAAUAUAACUUUCAUCUUAAUAGAUGCAGUUUGCAUCUGAAAGAGUGCAAUAAGAAGAGAAACAGUGUAAAUAUCUCCCAUAGAGUGUAAUUUUCAUUUAAAAAGUGUAAUUUUUAUCUUAAAGCUGCAGUUUACAUUUUAAGUAAUGCAAUUCAUAAUUUUUUUUCAGUUAACGAUGCAAUUUCAUCUUCAUCAUUCUUUUUCUAUAAUUUUUUAUCUUUAUUUUUUUUCUUGCUUCUUUUAUAAUUUUUUUUGUCACCCCUCCCUGUCAACGGCCAUGGCGCUGGCGAUGAUGCCGCUGAGGACCCCUCGCUCCGAGGCUGCAGCGCCGCAGUGACCUCCAAGGUGUCGGCGCCGGCAUCGGUGCCAGCGAAGAUGCAUCGUCGUCGGAGGCGGCAGAGGAGGAGGGAGAGGGAGAGGACGAGAAGGGCGGAAGAGGGCAAGAGAGGCAUCGUCGUC